AUUGGACGCUGGCGGCAUGCCUUACACAUGCAAGUCGAACGGUAACGGGCCUUCGGGUGCCGACGAGUGGCGAACGGGUGAGUAAUACAUCGGAACGUGCCCGAUCGUGGGGGAUAACGAGGCGAAAGCUUUGCUAAUACCGCAUACGAUCUACGGAUGAAAGCAGGGGACCGCAAGGCCUUGCGCGGACGGAGCGGCCGAUGGCAGAUUAGGUAGUUUGUGGGAUAAAAGCUUACCAAGCCGACGAUCUGUAGCUGGUCUGAGAGGAUGAUCAGCCACACUGGGACUGAGACACGGCCCAGACUCCUACGGGAGGCAGCAGUGGGGAAUUUUGGACAAUGGGCGCAAGCCUGAUCCAGCCAUGCCGCGUGCAGGAUGAAGGCCUUCGGGUUGUAAACUGCUUUUGUACGGAACGAAAAGCCUUCUUUUAAUACAGGAGGGUCAUGACGGUACCGUAAGAAUAAGCACCGGCUAACUACGUG
Molecule: ribosomal RNA, 482 nt
Filed under: uncultured bacterium
Lineage: Bacteria
Description: partial 16S ribosomal RNA
Rfam family: Bacterial small subunit ribosomal RNA
Source: RNAcentral